CAUCAUAACAGCAAAUACCAGUGCUGUAGAAAAGACAACUUCAGCUGACAGGAAACACAACAACUGGAUUACAUUUACAAGAGACACAACUCAACAUUGCAGGUUCAAGUCAUACCACCAGAAGAGUUGUAUUCUCCAGUCCAGUGUGAGACUGACCCUCAUGGUUUUAACGGAGUUGUGGUGUAUGGUGAUCAAACUUAUGACAUAACUUCUGGUCGAAUCAUACAACUGGAGGAGGUGUCUCUUUCAGCUGUGAACCACCAGCCUAGACAUCAGGUCCCAUCUGUGAAUAACCUAACUGGUGUGAGUGGAGCAGCAGUCGGCUCAGAGGAGACCCAUCAGCAAGAGGACAACCUAGUGUUUUAGCCCCAUGGAGACAACUUAGUCACUGUCCCUACUGCCUGAGGGAGACCAUACACACAGUGCCCAUCAGCUGGUGGAGUCGGCAUGGUCCAUGGGUGGUGAUGGCCCUCGCUGGUUUGAUGCUCUUGCUGUUGCUGGACAGAAUGCUUCUUUGAACAGGGAUGAGCAGUGUUUCAUUGCAUUUCAGUAUAAUUUAAAUAUGUAUUUAAU
Molecule: long non-coding RNA, 573 nt
Organism: Epinephelus moara (kelp grouper)
Lineage: Eukaryota; Metazoa; Chordata; Actinopteri; Perciformes; Serranidae
Exons: 7
Source: RefSeq, a predicted model, not a curated record